RNAcentral lists this ribosomal RNA (301 nucleotides) under uncultured bacterium. RNAcentral describes it as "partial 16S ribosomal RNA". It matches the Rfam family "Bacterial small subunit ribosomal RNA", at positions 509 to 808 of the family's 1533-position model. The record is from RNAcentral.
CAGUCGCCGCGGGAAUACGAAGGGGGCUAGCGUUGCUCGGAAUGACUGGGCGUAAAGGGCGCGUAGGCGGCGAUCAAAGUCAGGCGUGAAAUUCCUGGGCUCAACCUGGGGGCUGCGUUUGAUACUUGAUUGCUAGAGUGGGGAAGAGGGUCGUGGAAUUCCCAGUGUAGAGGUGAAAUUCGUAGAUAUUGGGAAGAACACCGGUGGCGAAGGCGGCGACCUGGUCCUUGACUGACGCUGAGGCGCGAAAGCGUGGGGAGCAAACAGGAUUAGAGACCCGUGUAGUCCCUGUCCUUAUACC